Molecule: long non-coding RNA, 943 nt
Organism: Eurytemora carolleeae
Lineage: Eukaryota; Metazoa; Arthropoda; Copepoda; Calanoida; Temoridae
Exons: 4
Source: RefSeq, a predicted model, not a curated record
UUAUAAAGUGUGAAGGUCAAAUGCACACUAUGCACAAUAGCUGUUCCAUGUACAAUUUUGUAUUACUACUUGAGUCUAAAAGUCGUCUUCCUCUUCCACAGUUUUCUGGUUUUCACAUACUGUACAAGAACCAACCAGAUACUGUAUAACAACUAAGAAGAUACUGUACAACAACGAACCAAAUACUGUACAACAACCAACCAGAUACUGUACAACAACCAACCAGAUACUGUACAACAACCAACCAGAUACUGUACAACAACCAACCAGAUACUGUACAACAACCAACAAGAUACUGUACAACAACCAACAAGAUACUGUACAACAACCAACCAGAUACUGUACAACAACCAACAAGAUACUGACCUUUGCGUAGGUUUUGAUUAACUUUAAACAAACCAGGCGAUCACGGCGCUUCGUGCCCAUCUUCUGUUUCAACUUUCAAUUGUUACUCAAGCAAAAUGGUUUGAUAUCCAAACCAUCCCUACUAAAUGUAUAAAAUCUCUUCCUCCCUCUCUGUCUGUAUUCAUUAAUACUGAAAUUAGGAACCUGACACUGCCAUCUUGUUUAGCUAGGUCAGGCUCAAUGAAACAGGGGAAAAUAUUUUUCUAAAAAAUUCUCUUUUCGGUCGAAUCGAGAAUUGGGAACCUCCCCUUCCCCCACAUGAUCCCAUCACCAACAUUACAAAAAAAAAAUAUGAACUUACAGAACAUUUUGUAUUAGAGGCUAGGUCGGGGGCUGUGACUAGGGCACUCUACGCGCUGGGAGCCGAGCGCUGAGGCUAGGAUAUAUUUUUUAGAUACCAACAUGGGAAAUAUAUUGAAUGUACUGAAAACAUGUGGUUCAGGGUACGCUGAUAUAGAAGAGGAUUUUCUGAUAUUUCUAGAUUUUGAGGGAAUCAAGCAGGGAUUUCAGGAUAUAGAGGGAAUAGAUUCAAGGAAUG